AGCGAACGCUGGCGGCAGGCCUAUCACAUGCAAGUCGAACGAACCGUUCGGGGUUAGUGGCGGGCGGGUGAGUAACACGUGGGAACGUGCCUUUAGGUUCGGAAUAACUCAGGGAAACAUGUGCUAAUAACGCAUGUGCACCUCGGGGGAAUGAUUCAUCGCCUUUAGAGCGGCCGCGUGUGAUUAGCUAGUUGGUUGCGGUAAUGGGUGACCAAGGCGACGCUCAGUAGCUGGUCGGAGAGGAUGAGCUGCCGCAUUGGGACGGAGACACGGCCCAAGCUCCGACGGGAGGCAGCAGUGGGGAAUCCUGCGCAAGGGGCGAAAGCCUGACGCUGCCAUGCCGCGUGAAUUAUGAAGGUCUUAGGAGUGUAAAAUUCUUUCACCUGGGACGAUAAUGACGGUACCCGGAGAAGAAGCCCCGGCUAACUUCGUG
Molecule: ribosomal RNA, 433 nt
Filed under: uncultured bacterium
Lineage: Bacteria
Description: partial 16S ribosomal RNA
Rfam family: Bacterial small subunit ribosomal RNA
Source: RNAcentral